This is a non-coding RNA of Arachis ipaensis, 131 nucleotides long. Lineage: Eukaryota; Viridiplantae; Streptophyta; Magnoliopsida; Fabales; Fabaceae. The record is from RefSeq and is a predicted model, not a curated record.
GUCAUUUAAAGAAUGAGGGUCAGCAUGACGUAAAAAAAAAAAAAAAAAAAAAACCAGAGGAGCCUGCUGAAGAUGAGGCCAUUACGGCUCGCCUUUAGGUGUCCUCCUCGGGAUAGGGUCAUUUAAAGAAC